This 496-nucleotide ribosomal RNA is filed under the name uncultured bacterium. Its description in RNAcentral is "partial 16S ribosomal RNA". It matches the Rfam family "Bacterial small subunit ribosomal RNA", at positions 29 to 507 of the family's 1533-position model. The record is from RNAcentral.
AUGAACGCUGGCGGCGUGCCUCAUACAUGCAAGUCGAGCGCACGGACGAGAAGCUUGCCUCUCUGAUGUUAGCGGCGGACGGGUGAGUAACACGUGGAUAACCUACCUAUAAGACUGGGAUAACUUCGGGAAACCGGAGCUAAUACCGGAUAAUAUUUUGAACCGCAUGGUUCAAAAGUGAAAGACGGUCUUGCUGUCACUUAUAGAUGGAUCCGCGCUGCAUUAGCUAGUUGGUAAGGUAACGGCUUACCAAGGCAACGAUGCAUAGCCGACCUGAGAGGGUGAUCGGCCACACUGGAACUGAGACACGGUCCAGACUCCUACGGGAGGCAGCAGUAGGGAAUCUUCCGCAAUGGGCGAAAGCCUGACGGAGCAACGCCGCGUGAGUGAUGAAGGUCUUCGGAUCGUAAAACUCUGUUAUUAGGGAAGAACAUAUGUGUAAGUAACUGUGCACAUCUUGACGGUACCUAAUCAGAAAGCCACGGCUAACUACGUG